RNAcentral lists this transfer RNA (75 nucleotides) under Firmicutes bacterium HGW-Firmicutes-14. RNAcentral describes it as "tRNA-Arg". It matches the Rfam family "tRNA". From Rfam's summary of the family: Transfer RNA (tRNA) molecules are approximately 80 nucleotides in length. The record is from RNAcentral. Lineage: Bacteria; Bacillati; Bacillota.
GUCCUCGUAGUACAACGGAUAGUACAACCGCCUCCUAAGCGGUAGAUCCAGGUUCGAUUCCUGGCGAGGGCACCA